Molecule: long non-coding RNA, 1755 nt
Filed under: Triticum aestivum (bread wheat)
Lineage: Eukaryota; Viridiplantae; Streptophyta; Magnoliopsida; Poales; Poaceae
Description: long non-coding RNA (TAES_LNC005609)
Source: RNAcentral
GCAACAAACACAUAUAUAAAAGAAGAGGUGCUGCUCAAAAAUCAUAUAGUAAUACAGAAAACUACUGGUGAUACGAUUCCAAGAAAUGUAUUAAACUGUUGGGAAAAACAUUUAGUACAAACCGAGAGAAAAAUAUUAAAUUGUUCGGAAAAUUCUCCUCAUAAUAAUUGUAGUUUUCGGGGCGGACUUGGGAAGACUGAUUUCCACACAAGAGAAAAGAGGGGGUACUUAAAAGUUUUUCAAAUAUGAGAUAGCUGACUUUAUAACUACUUCUGCUGCAUUCAUGGGGCAAUUGGACAGAGUUCCAUUUUAGAAGCUGGAAGUGUUUCCGUUCUGCACGUAACUAACCGCGCUUUUUCCUCUUCUUGGUUGAAACAUCUUCUUGAAGUCCCUCGAAGUCAUGAACAAGAUAGAAACUGUCAGUACUAGACAUUACACACAACUCUUACAUAACAAGAUAAAACAAUUCACAUGCUGGUUAAAAAAUUGAUAGGUGCUUGCUUCUCGACAAAAUACAUCCUAACAAGUGGGUUCUAGUCCAGUUAUCUAGUGUUCCAUGUAUGUUCAAUUCCGUGAUAGUUCUAGGCACGUGUAGAAGACGUAGGGAAGAUGCCAGCGUGUCAGAAAGAAAGACAGAAAGUGGUAAACUCAAUUCAGCAGAGCUACUCUGACAUGGCACAUAAACCAGCAUAAACCAACUAAUUCAGGGAAAAUUGACCACAGUACAAUUUUCUUUGGCUUCUCCUCUGGACAAUAUUAUCAGUACAAUGUAUGCAGAAGACUGACAAUACAUGGACAAGAUUAACAGAGAACUCGAACAUUUGAUUGAACAUAGAAAUUGCAAUAUCAUCCUCCCCACAAGAGCAUUGACGACAGACAUGAAUAGUUACUACCAACCUAGAUAGACUCUUUUGCUCACUAUGGCAGACGCAGCAGACCAUCUAGAGCACUUAUUCGGCAGGAACGAUGACAGAAAAAUAAAAAGCAGUAACACCAGAUACAGUAGGCUUUGCCGGACACCAUCUCAGAGACUUCAGAUGUCUUUGGAACCGCAGAUUUCUCUCAGGCAGCGACACCUUUCUCGGCCACCUUCUCCACUCCCCAAGCACAUGAACAGACACCCUCCUACCAUCACUAUGCUGCAUUCAUACCCUGAAUCCAAAUUCUGAAGGCAACCCUCUUGUCUGGCUUCAGAUUCACCCAAAUCAGAACGAAAAAAUCGAUCCACUGCUGCCACCAAAACCUCCUACAAACCCUAGAAACGCUGGUCCGACACAAACGGGACAACAAUCGCCUCAAUCUGGCGAUACCACACACAGAGAACACGAACCAGCGUGACAAAGAACACAGCGGGGGAAUUGGGGGCAUUACCUUGAAGAUGCCGAACUUGACGGGGCUUGACGGAACCCUAGGCGCGCGGACCUUGACGGAACCCUAAAUGACCCGAGCUUGACGAAGCCUAGACGACCCCGUUCUUGAUGGAACCCUAGACGACGACGACGAGGAGGCUCUGACCACCUGCAGAAAACAAAUCCAUCGCGACGACAUCAGCCAGAUCUGAUCGGCGAUGCCUCGGACGAAUCAGGGGGAGAGAGGCCCGUCGGCUGCUUACCAGGGCGGCGGUCUCUUGCCGGAGUGGGAUGAAGAGGGAGGAAGGGGGAUGAGGCAUGAGGGAGGAAGAGGAAGGGGGAGGCGUCUCUGGAGCGAUGAAAGAAAGAAAUAGGUAGUAAAAAGGCUGGCCCAAAUCAGGUGAAG